This 207-nucleotide ribosomal RNA is filed under the name uncultured delta proteobacterium. RNAcentral describes it as "partial 16S ribosomal RNA". It matches the Rfam family "Bacterial small subunit ribosomal RNA", at positions 568 to 774 of the family's 1533-position model. The record is from RNAcentral. Lineage: Bacteria; Deltaproteobacteria.
CGCGUAGGCGGUUUUGUAAGUCAGAUGUGAAAGCCCGGGGCUCAACCCCGGAAGUGCAUUUGAUACUGCGAGACUUGAGUAUGGGAGGGGGAAGUGGAAUUCCUGGUGUAGAGGUGAAAUUCGUAGAUAUCAGGAGGAACACCAGUGGCGAAGGCGACUUCCUGGACCAAUACUGACGCUGAUGCGCGAAGGCGUGGGGAGCAAACA